RNAcentral lists this ribosomal RNA (497 nucleotides) under uncultured bacterium. Its description in RNAcentral is "partial 16S ribosomal RNA". It matches the Rfam family "Bacterial small subunit ribosomal RNA", at positions 28 to 507 of the family's 1533-position model. The record is from RNAcentral.
GAUGAACGCUGGCGGCGUGCCUAAUACAUGCCAGUCGAGCGAACAGAUGAGGAGCUUGCUCCUCUGACGUUAGCGGCGGACGGGUGAGUAACACGUGGAUAACCUACCUAUAAGACUGGGAUAACUUCGGGAAACCGGAGCUAAUACCGGAUAAUAUAUUGAACCGCAUGGUUCAAUAGUGAAAGACGGUUUUGCUGUCACUUAUAGAUGGAUCCGCGCCGCAUUAGCUAGUUGGUAAGGUAACGGCUUACCAAGGCAACGAUGCGUAGCCGACCUGAGAGGGUGAACAGCCACACUGGAACUGCGACACGGACGAGACUCCUACGGGAGGCAGCAGUGGGGAAUAUUCGGCAAUGGGCGAAAGACUGACGGAGCAACGCCGCGUGAGUGAUGAAGGUCUUCGGAUCGUAAAACUCUGUUAUUGGGGAAGAACAAAUGUGUAAGUAACUAUGGACGUCUUGACGGUACCUAAACAGAAAGCAACGGCUAACUACGUG